UAAUCUUGCGACCGUACUCCCCAGGCGGAAUGCUUAAUCCGUUAGGUGUGUCACCGAAUAGCAUGCUACCCGACGACUGGCAUUCAUCGUUUACGGUGUGGACUACCAGGGUAUCUAAUCCGUUUGCUCCCCACACUUUCGCACCUCAGCGUCAGUAUCGAGCCAGUGAGCCGCCUUCGCCACUGGUGUUCCUCCGAAUAUCUACGAAUUUCACCUCUACACUCGGAAUUCCACUCACCUCUCUCGAACUCUAGACUAGCAGUAUCAAAGGCAGUUCCGGGGUUGAGCCCCGGGAUUUCACCCCUGACUGACUAGUCCGCCUACGCGCGCUUUACGCCCAGUAAUUCCGAACAACGCUAACCCCCUCCGUAUUACCGCGGCUGCUGGCACGGAGUUAGCCGGUGCUUCCUCAAGAGGUACCGUCAGAGCGGGCCAUACCCGCUGGUUCUUCACUCUCAACAGAGCUUUACACUGCAGAGCAGCGUCAUCGCUCACGCGGCGUUGCUGGAUCAGGGUUGCCCCCAUUGUCCAAUAUUCCUCC
This 541-nucleotide ribosomal RNA is filed under the name uncultured Alphaproteobacteria bacterium. Its description in RNAcentral is "partial 16S ribosomal RNA". The record is from RNAcentral. Lineage: Bacteria; Pseudomonadati; Pseudomonadota; Alphaproteobacteria.